GAUGAACGCUGGCGGCGUGCCUAAUACAUGCAAGUCGAGCGAACAGACGAGGAGCUUGCUCCUCUGACGUUAGCGGCGGACGGGUGAGUAACACGUGGAUAACCUACCUAUAAGACUGGGAUAACUUCGGGAAACCGGAGCUAAUACCGGAUAACAUGUUGAACCGCAUGGUUCAACAGUGAAAGACGGUCUUGCUGUCACUUAUAGAUGGAUCCGCGCCGCAUUAGCUAGUUGGUAAGGUAACGGCUUACCAAGGCAACGAUGCGUAGCCGACCUGAGAGAGGGAUCGGCCACACUGGAACUGAGACACGGUCCAGACUCCUACGGGAGGCAGCAGUAGGGAAUCUUCCGCAAUGGGCGAAAGCCUGACGGAGCAACGCCGCGUGAGUGAAGAAGGUCUUCGGAUCGUAAAACUCUGUUAUUAGGGAAGAACAAAUGUGUAAGUAACUAUGCACGUCUUGACGGUACCUAAUCAGAAAGCCACGGCUAACUACGUG
This 497-nucleotide ribosomal RNA is filed under the name uncultured bacterium. RNAcentral's name for it is "partial 16S ribosomal RNA". It matches the Rfam family "Bacterial small subunit ribosomal RNA", at positions 28 to 507 of the family's 1533-position model. The record is from RNAcentral.